This 211-nucleotide unclassified non-coding RNA is filed under the name Hevea brasiliensis (rubber tree). Lineage: Eukaryota; Viridiplantae; Streptophyta; Magnoliopsida; Malpighiales; Euphorbiaceae. The record is from RNAcentral.
AAAAAAACAGGAUUUGUUCCUGAGGAUGCUGCUAUAGUUGGUAACACUUGUCUGUAUGGAGCUACUGGUGGUCAGGUAUUUGUGAGAGGCAAAACAGGUGAAAGAUUUGCAGUUAGAAACUCCCUUGGUCAAGCAGUGGUUGAGGGCACUGGAGAUCAUUGCUGCGAGUACAUGACUGGUGGCUGUGUAGUUGUACUUGGCAAAGUUGGGA